Long non-coding RNA from Gallus gallus (chicken), 906 nucleotides. Lineage: Eukaryota; Metazoa; Chordata; Aves; Galliformes; Phasianidae. The record is from Ensembl.
CGUGAUUCACACACCCUGACUCCUCCUCUCCGUCCCUGAGGCUUUCUCGAGGCAAGAGGGUGUGGAUGCAGAGCCGUUGCCCUGGCAACGCCCACGCCACAUCAUCCGCUCUUUCGAGAGCUUGCCGGGCUGCUCUGUUACCUCGGGGUUCCUUGAAUGAAGGAACCGACCGAACCCCUCCCUGUACCUCGCGAUCAGUCGCUGUGGUUCUGGCCGGGACAGCUCCGAAGCAACUAACCUCGGCGAUCAAGGGAUCAUUAUCAAAGAGGAAUUCACUCACCCCUCCCAGCAAUAGUUUGGAGAAAGGGACGAGCUGAGGAAUGCAACCUUCUCCUGUUCGUACUGUCCCGCCGCAGGAGAAGGGCGGGGGGAAGGGGAACCCGCUCAGACUCAGACUGCACACGCUCUCCGGGAAGCAUUGCUGGGACAGAAAGGGGUGAGUGAGAACUGCAGAAGAGUUUCUUGCCAGCUCAAACUAGUGAGCAGCUGUCGUGGUCAUGGGCCCCAAGGAGGUGAAUGUCAGGGACUGGAAGGGACCUUGAAAGAUCAUCUUGUCCAAUCCCCAUGCUGGAGCAAGAACAUCUAGAAAUGUACCCAGAUACUGAAAGGUCACUAUCAGGCCACCUCUGAGCCUUCUCUUCUCCAGCCUCAACAGCCCCAGCUCCUUCAGCCUAUCCUCAUAGGAGAGGUGCUCCAUCCCUUGGAUUGUUCCUGGGCCCCCCCCUCUGGAUGAACUUCAACAGGUGCAUGUCUCUCCCCUACUCUGGACUCUGCAUUUGGACACAGAACUCCAAGUGAGGUCUCACUGGCACAAAGCAGAGGGUCAGGAUCACCUUCCUUGACCUGCUGGUCCUACUUGUUUGGAUGCAGCCCAGGAUGUGGUUGCCUUUCUGGGCUGUGAAGGCA